UACGGAGGAUGCGAGCGUUAUCCGGAUUUAUUGGGUUUGAAAGGGUGCGUAGGCGGACUGUCAAGUCAGCGGUAAAAUACGGGGGCUCAACCUCCGCCCGCCGUUGAAACUGACGGUCUUGAGUGGGCGAGAAGUAUGCGGAAUGCGUGGUGUAGCGGUGAAAUGCAUAGAUAUCACGCAGAACUACCGAUUGCGAAGGCAGCGUACCGGCGCCCGACUGACGCUGAGGCACGAAAGCGUGGGGAUCGAACAGGG
This 255-nucleotide ribosomal RNA is filed under the name uncultured bacterium. RNAcentral's name for it is "partial 16S ribosomal RNA". It matches the Rfam family "Bacterial small subunit ribosomal RNA", at positions 524 to 777 of the family's 1533-position model. The record is from RNAcentral.